This 435-nucleotide long non-coding RNA is filed under the name Durio zibethinus. RNAcentral describes it as "long non-coding RNA (DZIB_LNC000766)". The record is from RNAcentral. Lineage: Eukaryota; Viridiplantae; Streptophyta; Magnoliopsida; Malvales; Malvaceae.
UCGGUGGCGUGGCUCGCCUUAAUAGCAGCUUGGCAACAGACAUAGUAUGUGGCUCGAUUGCGAUGGUGGCUUGGCUUUCGCUUUAGUAGGGGAUGUGGGUUAUCGGGUCAUACGGUACUAGUCGACUUGGGUUUCCAGUAAAAAGCUCGGAUUUUCUAAUUUAAUAAAACACGAAAUGGUGUCGUUUUGAACAAGUAUAAAAGCCCAAAAUUUUCUUUUUUUUUAGAUUUCUCCUCUCUCUCUCUCUCUCUCUCUCUCUCUCUCUCUUUUCUGCUUCUUUCUCUAGAAAGAAAAUCCGAUGGUCAGAUACUUCAAGGCUUUGUCAGGUUUUCGCUGGAGUUUGGAUUUGGUUGUCAAACUUUUAUCAAAAUCCAGGUUUGGUCAUUAACAACUAGAAAUAGUCAUUGAAAAUUUGGGAAUGUGCUAAAAUUUCAU